CACAAAGAGAAGCGAGACGGAGACGUUAAGCGAAACCCAAAAAAGUAAGUCUCAGUUCGGAUUGAAGGCUGAAAUUCGCCUUCAUGAAGCCGGAAUUGCUAGUAAUGGCAGGUCAGCAUACUGCCGUGAAUACGUUCCCGGGCCUUGUACACACCGCCCGUCACACCAUGAGAGUUGGGAAUACCCGAAGCCUGUGAGCUAACGUAAGAGGCAGCAGUCGAAGGUAGAAUCAAUGAUUGGGGUGAAGUCGUAACAAGGUACC
RNAcentral lists this ribosomal RNA (262 nucleotides) under uncultured bacterium. Its description in RNAcentral is "partial 16S ribosomal RNA". It matches the Rfam family "Bacterial small subunit ribosomal RNA", at positions 1238 to 1500 of the family's 1533-position model. The record is from RNAcentral.